AACGAACGCUGGCGGCAGGCUUAACACAUGCAAGUCGAACGAGAUCUUCGGAUCUAGUGGCAGACGGGUGAGGAACACGUGGGAACAUCCCUUUCAGUUCGGAAUAACGUUGGGAAACUAAUGCUCAUACCGGAUACGUCCUUCGGGAGAAAGAUUUAUCGCUGAAAGAUUGGCCCGCGUCUGAUUAGCUAGUUGGUGAGGUAAUGGCUCACCAAGGCUACGAUCAUUAGCUGAUUUGUGAGGAUGAUCAGCCACAUUGGGACUGAGACACGGCCCGAACUCCUACGGGAGGCAGCAGUGGGGAAUAUUGGACAAUGGGCGCAAGCCUGAUCCAGCCAUGCCGCGUGAGUGAUGACGGCCUUCGGGUUGUAAAGCUCUUUUGUCCGGGAAGAUAAUGACUGUACCGGAAGAAUAAGCCCCGGCAAACUUCGUGCCAGCCGCCGCGGUAA
Molecule: ribosomal RNA, 449 nt
Filed under: uncultured bacterium
Lineage: Bacteria
Description: partial 16S ribosomal RNA
Rfam family: Bacterial small subunit ribosomal RNA
Source: RNAcentral